UACACACCGCCCGUCGCUACUACCGAUUGAAUGGUUAUAGUGAGCAUAUGGGAUCAGUAGAAUUAGACUGGCAACAGUCUUUCUCUGCAGAGAACUAUGGCAAACUAGGCUAUUUAGAGGAAGUAAAAGUCGUAACAAGGUUUCCGUAGGUGAACCUGCGGAAGGAUCAUUA
This 172-nucleotide ribosomal RNA is filed under the name uncultured zygomycete. Its description in RNAcentral is "partial 18S ribosomal RNA". It matches the Rfam family "Eukaryotic small subunit ribosomal RNA", at positions 1663 to 1831 of the family's 1831-position model. The record is from RNAcentral. Lineage: Eukaryota; Fungi.